GAUGAACGCUAGCGGGAGGCCUAACACAUGCAAGCCGAGCGGUAGAGUUUCUUCGGAAACUUGAGAGCGGCGCACGGGUGCGUAACACGUGUGCAACCUACCUUUAUCUGGGGGAUAGCCUUUCGAAAGGAAGAUUAAUACCCCAUAAUAUAAUGAUUGGCAUCAAUUAUUAUUGAAAACUCCGGUGGAUAGAGAUGGGCACGCGCAAGAUUAGAUAGUUGGUGAGGUAACGGCUCACCAAGUCAAUGAUCUUUAGGGGUCCUGAGAGGGAGAUCCCCCACACUGGUACUGCGACACGGACCAGACUCCUACGGGAGGAAGCAGUGAGGAAUAGUGGACAAGGGGUGAGAGCCUGAUCCAGCCAUCCCGCGUGAAGGAGGACGGUCCUAUGGAUUGUAAACUUCUUUUGUACAGGGAUAAACCUACCCUCGGGAGGGUAGCUGAAGGUACUGAACGAAUAAGCACCGGCUAACUCCGUG
RNAcentral lists this ribosomal RNA (479 nucleotides) under uncultured bacterium. RNAcentral's name for it is "partial 16S ribosomal RNA". It matches the Rfam family "Bacterial small subunit ribosomal RNA", at positions 28 to 507 of the family's 1533-position model. The record is from RNAcentral.